RNAcentral lists this long non-coding RNA (1132 nucleotides) under Medicago truncatula (barrel medic). RNAcentral's name for it is "long non-coding RNA (MTRU_LNC003975)". The record is from RNAcentral. Lineage: Eukaryota; Viridiplantae; Streptophyta; Magnoliopsida; Fabales; Fabaceae.
UAUAUAUGAGGCAGAGGAUAUAUGACCCAUGAAUUAUAGAUAUUUUAAUGCAAUAUGUUGCCAUAUUGCAAAAAGGAUCAAUGGAGAAGGGAAUAUACCAAGAAUUCUGAUUUUGUUUCAAAAGUUCUCCACGUUGGUCAUCAUUAAUAUUGCUGAAUUUCCCUUCUUCUUCCAUAAUUGACUUAUUUUUAAUUUCCUUGUACGUGCUAUUUGAAGCAUGUCAUGGCAGCUUUCACUUUGGUAGGGCAUAACUCCAAUAUAUAUUUUUCAAAAAAUUGAGAAAUCGUUAUUUAUUAAAGUAUCACUAAUUAUGAUCAAUUAUGAGAUCAAACUCUUACCAUACAUCAUAGACCACUUGCUUAACUAUAAUCUUCAAUAUUGGAGUACUUGCUUAUUUCAUUCUCAAGAAUAUAACAUGUUCCCCCCACUUAGGAGAUUUUAGCUAGGCCCUAGCAAUAUUUCACAAAGAUUCUUGUUACCCUUAUGCAUAUAUGUUUUAUUUUGUAAAGUCAUUACCUGGUAUCAUUAUGCAUGUGUUUCUAUCAAUCAUUGUUAUUGCUCCCUUUUCUGACUCCAAUUGUGCUUUCAUUUUCUUGGGGACCAAUGGUGGGUCAUCAUUGAUGAGGCUUUAGUAAUGGCUAUUUAUUAGUGUCACUAACAAUACGUUCAACAUGCUUCAUAGAAGGUAUAUUAUUGAAAAUUUAUUGGAGUCUCCAAUUGUCAUGGUCUUUCAAUUAAGCAAUGCAUAUGUGGCCAAAUUCAUUUUAUGAGCUAGUUUUUAAGAGUGGGAUCUAAAUCCAUUUCAUGGUAUCAGAGCUGGAUUUUGCAGGGCAUGUAAGAAUUGGACCUAGUCACAUCGUGUGAAAGUGGAUACUGAAGUUAUAUUUGAGUCUCACAUUGUCAAAGUGUAUGAGUUAGUUUUUAAGAGUAAGAUCCAAAUUCAUUUAACACAUGUAUACCACGACAACAAAACUUAAAACUACUCUGCAUACUUGAGCAAACAGCUUGAUUUAUAACUUAGGAGGCAUUUGAGUAAACUGUUAAUUAAUCAAGUAGUGGAUAAUUUUUGCAUUUGAUUAAACUGUUUGGAUGUUAAGCUUGGUUGAUAAUUUAAGUGGGACUUCAGUAAGUG